Molecule: ribosomal RNA, 245 nt
Filed under: uncultured bacterium
Lineage: Bacteria
Description: partial 16S ribosomal RNA
Rfam family: Bacterial small subunit ribosomal RNA
Source: RNAcentral
UAGUCCAUGCCGUAAACGGUGGGCGCUAGGUGUGGGUUUCCUUCCACGGGAUCCGUGCCGUAGCUAACGCAUUAAGCGCCCCGCCUGGGGAGUACGGCCGCAAGGCUAAAACUCAAAGGAAUUGACGGGGGCCCGCACAAGCGGCGGAGCAUGUGGAUUAAUUCGAUGCAACGCGAAGAACCUUACCUGGGCUUGACAUAUACAGGAUCGCGCCAGAGAUGGUGUUUCCCUUGUGGCUUGUAUAC